UACAGAGGGUGCGAGCGUUAUUCGGAUUCACUGGGCGUAAAGGGCGCGUAGGCGGCUUGGUAAGUCUGAUGUGAAAGCCCUGGGGUCAACCCAGGAAGUGCAUUGGAUACUGUCGAGCUAGAGUGUAGGAGAGGAGAGCGGAAUUCCUGGUGUAGAGGUGAAAUUCGUAGAUAUCAGGAGGAACACCCGUGGCGAAGGCGGCUCUCUGGACUAUUACUGACGCUGAGGCGCGAAAGCGUGGGGAGCAAACAGG
RNAcentral lists this ribosomal RNA (253 nucleotides) under uncultured bacterium. RNAcentral describes it as "partial 16S ribosomal RNA". It matches the Rfam family "Bacterial small subunit ribosomal RNA", at positions 524 to 776 of the family's 1533-position model. The record is from RNAcentral.